Molecule: ribosomal RNA, 492 nt
Filed under: uncultured bacterium
Lineage: Bacteria
Description: partial 16S ribosomal RNA
Rfam family: Bacterial small subunit ribosomal RNA
Source: RNAcentral
AGUGAACGCUGGCGGUAGGCCUAACACAUGCAAGUCGAACGGCAGCACAGUAAGAGCUUGCUCUUACGGGUGGCGAGUGGCGGACGGGUGAGGAAUACAUCGGAAUCUACUUUUUCGUGGGGGAUAACGUAGGGAAACUUACGCUAAUACCGCAUACGACCUACGGGUGAAAGCAGGGGAUCUUCGGACCUUGCGCGAGUGAAUGAGCCGAUGUCGGAUUAGCUAGUUGGCGGGGUAAAGGCCCACCAAGGCGAGGAUCCGUAGCUGGUCUGAGAGGAUGAUCAGCCACACUGGAACUGAGCCACGGUCCAGACUCCUACGGGAGGCAGCAGUGGGGACUAUUGGACAAUGGGCGCAAGCCUGAUCCAGCCAUACCGCGUGGGUGAAGAAGGCCUUCGGGUUGUAAAGCCCUUUUGUUGGGAAAGAAAAGCAGCAGGUUAAUACCCCGCUGUUCUGACGGUACCCAAAGAAUAAGCACCGGCUAACUUCGUG